CCUACGGGGGGCAGCAGUGAGGAAUAUUGGUCAAUGGGCGCAAGCCUGAACCAGCCAUCCCGCGUGCAGGAAGAAGGCGCUAUGCGUCGUAAACUGCUUUUCCAGGGGAAGAAAACCUGAUACGUGUAUCGGCUUGCCGGUACCCUGGGAAUAAGCAUCGGCUAACUCCGUGCCAGCAGCCGCGGUAAUACGGAGGAUGCGGGCGUUAUUGGGAUUUAUUGGGUUUAAGGCGUACUAAUAAGGAUUUGGUGAAAACCUUCAGCUUAACUGGAGACUUGCCAUUGAUACUGUUAGUCUUGAGUACGGUCAAGGUAGGCGGAAUGUGUAAUGUAGCGGUGAAAUGCUUAGAUAUUACACAGAACACCGAUUGCGAAGGCAGCUUACUGGACCGUAACUGACGCUGAUGCACGAAAGCGUGGGGAGCGAACAGGAUUAGAUACCCUGGUAGUC
This 450-nucleotide ribosomal RNA is filed under the name uncultured bacterium. Its description in RNAcentral is "partial 16S ribosomal RNA". It matches the Rfam family "Bacterial small subunit ribosomal RNA", at positions 338 to 795 of the family's 1533-position model. The record is from RNAcentral.